This 447-nucleotide ribosomal RNA is filed under the name uncultured bacterium. Its description in RNAcentral is "partial 16S ribosomal RNA". It matches the Rfam family "Bacterial small subunit ribosomal RNA", at positions 329 to 793 of the family's 1533-position model. The record is from RNAcentral.
CACCAGACUCCUACGGGAGGCAGCAGUGGGGGAUAUUGCACAAUGGGGGAAACCCUGAUGCAGCGACGCCGCGUGGGUGAAGAAGCGCCUCGGCGCGUAAAGCCCUGUCAGCAGGGAAGAAAAUGACGGUACCUGAAGAAGAAGCCCCGGCUAACUACGUGCCAGCAGCCGCGGUAAUACGUAGGGGGCAAGCGUUAUCCGGAUUUACUGGGUGUAAAGGGAGCGUAGACGGUUGUAUAAGUCUGGAGUGAAAGCCCGGGGCCCAACCCCGGGACUGCUUUGGAAACUGUGUAACUUGAGUACAGGAGGGGCAGGCGGAAUUCCUGGUGUAGCGGUGAAAUGCGUAGAUAUUCGGAGGAACACCGGUGGCGAAGGCGGCCAACUGGGCUUUAACUGACGCUGAGGCUCGAAAGUGUGGGGAGCAAACAGGAUUAGAUACCCGAGUAU